Molecule: ribosomal RNA, 499 nt
Filed under: Pseudomonas sp. C1(2010b)
Lineage: Bacteria; Pseudomonadati; Pseudomonadota; Gammaproteobacteria; Pseudomonadales; Pseudomonadaceae
Description: bacterial SSU rRNA
Rfam family: Bacterial small subunit ribosomal RNA
Source: RNAcentral
GAGUUUGAUCAUGGCUCAGAUUGAACGCUGGCGGCAGGCCUAACACAUGCAAGUCGAGCGGAUGACAGGAGCUUGCUCCUGAAUUCAGCGGCGGACGGGUGAGUAAUGCCUAGGAAUCUGCCUGGUAGUGGGGGACAACGUUUCGAAAGGAACGCUAAUACCGCAUACGUCCUACGGGAGAAAGCAGGGGACCUUCGGGCCUUGCGCUAUCAGAUGAGCCUAGGUCGGAUUAGCUAGUUGGUGAGGUAAUGGCUCACCAAGGCGACGAUCCGUAACUGGUCUGAGAGGAUGAUCAGUCACACUGGAACUGAGACACGGUCCAGACUCCUACGGGAGGCAGCAGUGGGGAAUAUUGGACAAUGGGCGAAAGCCUGAUCCAGCCAUGCCGCGUGUGUGAAGAAGGUCUUCGGAUUGUAAAGCACUUUAAGUUGGGAGGAAGGGCAGUAACUUAAUACGUUGCUGUUUUGACGUUACCGACAGAAUAAGCACCGGCUAAUAA